GUCCCUGUAGCGCAGUGUGUGCGCGUUGACUUCUAAUCCAAAGGUUCCGGUUCGAACCCGGCAGGGAUG
This is a non-coding RNA of Nephila pilipes (giant wood spider), 69 nucleotides long. The record is from the annotation of a GenBank genome assembly. Lineage: Eukaryota; Metazoa; Arthropoda; Arachnida; Araneae; Nephilidae.